Molecule: unclassified non-coding RNA, 20 nt
Filed under: Dictyostelium discoideum
Lineage: Eukaryota; Evosea; Eumycetozoa; Dictyosteliales; Dictyosteliaceae
Source: RNAcentral
GUGAAGUGGUCGUUCAAAGG